Cyprinus carpio carpio is the source of this 491-nucleotide long non-coding RNA. Lineage: Eukaryota; Metazoa; Chordata; Actinopteri; Cypriniformes; Cyprinidae. The record is from Ensembl.
ACCUGGUCAGAAGGUAUGGCUGUCAACACGGGACAUCAGAAUGUGCCUGCCCUGCAAGAAGUUCAGUCCCAGAUGUCAGCCCCUCCACCAUAAUCAAACAUAUAAAUCCAAAGAACCACCUCUUCCAUUAAUCCAGGAGGAUGGUACCAUCUACAAGGUCAAAGAGAUCUUGGACUCCAGGCACCGUGGUGGUCUCUUAGAAUAUCUUGUGGACAGGGAAGUUUAUGGGCCAGAGGAAUGUUCAUGGGUUCCCAGAGUUGACAUCCUACACUGCUGGAAGCCUUUCACUUCACUCAUCCAGAUUGCGCUGGGCUCCGAGGAAGAGUUAUCAUCUCCGUGGAUACUCUGCAUACUCAUCCAAGGUGUGUGCUGUCCUGUCUCCCUUCCACGGUGUGUGCUAUCCUGUCUCCCUUCCACGAUCUCCUGCAAAAUCAUAUACUGGGUUACAUUCCUCAUCUUUCCAAAAAUCUACUUUAUUGACUAUUACUCAC